This 253-nucleotide ribosomal RNA is filed under the name uncultured bacterium. RNAcentral's name for it is "partial 16S ribosomal RNA". It matches the Rfam family "Bacterial small subunit ribosomal RNA", at positions 524 to 776 of the family's 1533-position model. The record is from RNAcentral.
UACAGAGGGGGCAAGCGUUGUUCGGAAUUACUGGGCGUAAAGGGCGCGUAGGCGGCCUGCUAAGUCGAACGUGAAAUCCCUGGGCUCAACCCAGGAACUGCGUCCGAUACUGGUUGGCUUGAAUCCGGGAGAGGGAUGUGGAAUUCCAGGUGUAGCGGUGAAAUGCGUAGAUAUCUGGAGGAACACCGGUGGCGAAGGCGGCAUCCUGGACCGAGAUUGACGCUGAUGCGCGAAAGCCAGGGGAGCAAACGGG